RNAcentral lists this ribosomal RNA (468 nucleotides) under uncultured bacterium. RNAcentral's name for it is "partial 16S ribosomal RNA". It matches the Rfam family "Bacterial small subunit ribosomal RNA", at positions 28 to 507 of the family's 1533-position model. The record is from RNAcentral.
GACGAACGCUGGCGGCGUGCUUAACACAUGCAAGUCGAGCGGAAAGGCCCAGCUUUUGCGGGGUGCUCGAGUGGCGAACGGGUGUGUAACACGUGAGUAACCUGCCCUUGCCUUUGGGCUAACUUCAGGAAACUGGGGCUACUACCGGCUAGGAGCUCCUGCUGCAUGGUGGGGGUUGGAAAGUUUCGGCGGUUGGGGAUGGACUCGCGGCUUAUCAGCUUGUUGGUGGGGUAGUGGCUUACCAAGGCUUUGACGGGUAGCCGGCCUGAGAGGGUGACCGGCCACGCUGCCACGGAGCCACGGCCCAGUCGCCAACGGGAGGCAGCACCGGGGUAUGUUGCACAAGGGGCGGCAGCGUAGGGCAGGAACGCCGCGUCCGGGGUCACGGCCAGCCGCCUGUAUCGGGCUUUCGCGAGGGCCCAUGGGGGAGGGCUGGUAAUUGGUAGAGAAGCCCGGGCUAAAGACAUG